CUGGUCUGAGAGGAUGAUCAGUCACACUGGAACUGAGACACGGUCCAGACUCCUACGGGAGGCAGCAGUGGGGAAUAUUGCACAAUGGGCGCAAGCCUGAUCCAGCCAUGCCGCGUGUAUGAAGAAGGUCUUCGGAUUGUAAAGCACUUU
This 150-nucleotide ribosomal RNA is filed under the name Escherichia sp. RNAcentral's name for it is "partial 16S rRNA". It matches the Rfam family "Bacterial small subunit ribosomal RNA", at positions 287 to 436 of the family's 1533-position model. The record is from RNAcentral. Lineage: Bacteria; Pseudomonadati; Pseudomonadota; Gammaproteobacteria; Enterobacterales; Enterobacteriaceae.